UUAACUCUAAUUUGUGUGAAGUUCGAACGUUUCCCUUCGUUUGCCGCUAGGGGCGCUGCUCCAACUUCAUACAACUUUGAGUUA
Molecule: microRNA precursor, 84 nt
Filed under: Bombyx mori (domestic silkworm)
Lineage: Eukaryota; Metazoa; Arthropoda; Insecta; Lepidoptera; Bombycidae
Description: mir-2807 microRNA precursor family
Rfam family: mir-2807 microRNA precursor family
Source: Rfam by way of RNAcentral